Molecule: non-coding RNA, 75 nt
Organism: Streptomyces sp. AS58
Lineage: Bacteria; Bacillati; Actinomycetota; Actinomycetes; Kitasatosporales; Streptomycetaceae
Source: Rfam
CUUGAGCGAGCCGAGGUACAAGGGACGUUCCUCGGGCCGCUUCUGGCCGUAGGUGGCCAGGAGUGCCUGUGCUUC